This 208-nucleotide ribosomal RNA is filed under the name uncultured eukaryote. RNAcentral describes it as "partial 18S ribosomal RNA". It matches the Rfam family "Eukaryotic small subunit ribosomal RNA", at positions 1299 to 1458 of the family's 1831-position model. The record is from RNAcentral.
UGGUGGAGUGAUUUGUCUGGUUAAUUCCGUUAACGAACGAGAUCUCAGCCUGCUAAAUAGUGGGCGGAGCCAUCUGUAUGGGUGAAGUGGGUCGCGGCGCAGGGGAUCUCGGUUCCCUGCUCGAGGCCCAUGGAUCCCUGAUGGUCUCCGUUACGCUUCUUAGAGGGACUACCGGCGUUUAGCCGGGGGAAGGUUUGAGACAAUAACA